This 468-nucleotide ribosomal RNA is filed under the name uncultured bacterium. Its description in RNAcentral is "partial 16S ribosomal RNA". It matches the Rfam family "Bacterial small subunit ribosomal RNA", at positions 28 to 507 of the family's 1533-position model. The record is from RNAcentral.
GACGAACGCUGGCGGCGUGCUUAACACAUGCAAGUCGAACGGAAAGGCCCUGCUUUUGUGGGGUGCUCGAGUGGCGAACUGGUGAGUAACACGUGAGUAACCUGCCCUUGACUUUGGGAUAACUUCAGGAAACUGGGGCUAAUACCGGCUAGGAGCUCCUGCUGCAUGGUGGGGGUUGGAUAGUUUCGGCGGUUGGGGAUGGACUCGCGGCUUAUCAGCUUGUUGGUUGGGUAGUGUCUUACCAAGGCUUUGACGGGUAGCCGUCCUGAGAGGGUGACCGGCCACAUUGGGACGGAAAUACGGCCCAGACUCCUACGGGAGGCAACAGUGGGGAAUAUUGCACAAUGGGCGGAAGCCUGAUGCAGCAACGCCGCGUGCGGGAUGACGGCCUUCGGGUUGUAAACCGCUUUCGCCUGUGACGAAGCGUGAGUGACGGUAAUGGGUAAAGAAGCACCGGCUAACUACGUG